GGGCCGUUAGCUCAGUUGGUAGAGCACCGGACUUUUAAUCCGAUGGUCCUGCGUUCGAGUCGCAGACGGCCCACCA
Molecule: transfer RNA, 76 nt
Filed under: Methylophaga thalassica
Lineage: Bacteria; Pseudomonadati; Pseudomonadota; Gammaproteobacteria; Thiotrichales; Piscirickettsiaceae
Also listed under: 15 other names
Description: tRNA-Lys
Rfam family: tRNA
About the family: Transfer RNA (tRNA) molecules are approximately 80 nucleotides in length. Their secondary structure includes four short double-helical elements and three loops (D, anti-codon, and T loops). Further hydrogen bonds mediate the characteristic L-shaped molecular structure. tRNAs have two regions of fundamental functional importance: the anti-codon, which is responsible for specific mRNA codon recognition, and the 3' end, to which the tRNAs corresponding amino acid is attached (by aminoacyl-tRNA synthetases). tRNAs cope with the degeneracy of the genetic code in two manners: having more than one tRNA (with a specific anti-codon) for a particular amino acid; and 'wobble' base-pairing, i.e. permitting non-standard base-pairing at the 3rd anti-codon position.
Source: RNAcentral